UACGAAGGGGGCUAGCGUUGUUCGGAAUCACUGGGCGUAAAGCGCACGUAGGCGGCGCGUUAAGUCAGGGGUGAAAUCCUGGAGCUCAACUCCAGAACUGCCCUUGAUACUGGCGUGCUCGAGUGUGGGAGAGGUUGGUGGAACUCCGAGUGUAGAGGUGAAAUUCGUAGAUAUUCGGAAGAACACCAGUGGCGAAGGCGGCCAACUGGCCCAUUACUGACGCUGAGGUGCGAAAGCGUGGGGAGCAAACAGG
Molecule: ribosomal RNA, 253 nt
Filed under: uncultured bacterium
Lineage: Bacteria
Description: partial 16S ribosomal RNA
Rfam family: Bacterial small subunit ribosomal RNA
Source: RNAcentral